AGAGUUUGAUCAUGGCUCAGGAUGAACGCUAGCGACAGGCUUAACACAUGCAAGUCGAGGGGCAGCGGGGGUAGCGAUACCCGCCGGCGACCGGCGCACGGGUGAGUAACGCGUAUGCAACUUGCCUAUCAGAGGGGGGAUAACCCGGCGAAAGUCGGACUAAUACCGCAUGAAGCAGGGGCCCCGCAUGGGAAUAUUUGCUAAAGAUUCAUCGCUGAUAGAUAGGCAUGCGUUCCAUUAGGCAGUUGGCGGGGUAACGGCCCACCGAAACCGACGAUGGAUAGGGGUUCUGAGAGGAAGGUCCCCCACAUUGGUACUGAGACACGGACCAAACUCCUACGGGAGGCA
RNAcentral lists this ribosomal RNA (348 nucleotides) under uncultured bacterium. RNAcentral's name for it is "bacterial SSU rRNA". It matches the Rfam family "Bacterial small subunit ribosomal RNA", at positions 8 to 350 of the family's 1533-position model. The record is from RNAcentral.